UCUAGUAUAAGCAAUUAUACCGGGAACUGCGAAUGGCUCAUAAAUCAGUAUCGUUUAUUGAUAGUACCUACUACUGGAUACCGUGGUAAUUCUAGAGCUAUACAUGCUGAAACCCCAACUUCGGGAGGGUGUAUUUAUUAGAUAAAAACCAACGCCUUCGGGGCUUCUUGGUGAUUCAUGAUAACUUCACGGAUCGCAUGGCCUUGCGCCGGGCGACGGUUCAUUCAAAUUUCUGCCCUAUCAACUUUCGAUGGUAAGGUAUUGGCUUACCAUGGUUUCAACGGGUAACGGGGAAUUAGGGUUCGAUUCCGGAGAGGGAGCCUGAGAAACGGCUACCACAUCCAAGGAAGGCAGCAGGCGCGCAAAUUACCCAAUCCCGACACGGGGAGGUAGUGACAAUAAAUACUGAUACAGGGCUCUUUUGGGUCUUGUAAUUGGAAUGAGUACAAUUUAAACCUCUUAACGAGGAACAAUUGGAGGGCAAGUCUGGUGCCAGCAGCCGCGGUAAUUCCAGCUCCAAUAGCGUAUAUUAAAGUUGUUGCAGUUAAAAAGCUCGUAGUUGAAACUUGGGCCUGGCUGGCAGGUCCGCCUCACCGCGUGUACUUGUCCGGCCGGGCCUUUCCUUCUGGAGAACCUCAUGCCCUUCACUGGGUGUGUUGGGGAACCAGGACUUUUACUUUGAAAAAAUUAGAGUGUUCAAAGCAGGCCUUUGCUCGAAUACGUUAGCAUGGAAUAAUAGAAUAGGACGUGCGGUCCUAUUUUGUUGGUUUCUAGGACCGCCGUAAUGAUUAAUAGGGACAGUCGGGGGCAUCAGUAUUCAAUUGUCAGAGGUGAAAUUCUUGGAUUUAUUGAAGACUAACUACUGCGAAAGCAUUUGCCAAGGAUGUUUUCAUUAAUCAGUGAACGAAAGUUAGGGGAUCGAAGACGAUCAGAUACCGUCGUAGUCUUAACCGUAAACUAUGCCGACUAGGGAUCGGGCGAUGUUCUUUUUCUGACUCGCUCGGCACCUUACGAGAAAUCA
RNAcentral lists this ribosomal RNA (1021 nucleotides) under Microsphaeropsis cytisinus. Its description in RNAcentral is "SSU rRNA". It matches the Rfam family "Eukaryotic small subunit ribosomal RNA", at positions 59 to 1100 of the family's 1831-position model. Lineage: Eukaryota; Fungi; Ascomycota; Dothideomycetes; Pleosporales; Didymellaceae. The record is from RNAcentral.